UGCCUAAUACAUGCAAGUCGAGCGGACAGAUGGGAGCUUGCUCCCUGAUGUUAGCGGCGGACGGGUGAGUAACACGUGGGUAACCUGCCUGUAAGACUGGGAUAACUCCGGGAAACCGGGGCUAAUACCGGAUGGUUGUUUGAACCGCAUGGUUCAAACAUAAAAGGUGGCUUCGGCUACCACUUACAGAUGGACCCGCGGCGCAUUAGCUAGUUGGUGAGGUAACGGCUCACCAAGGCAACGAUGCGUAGCCGACCUGAGAGGGUGAUCGGCCACACUGGGACUGAGACACGGCCCAAACUCCUACGGGAGGCAGCAGUAGGGAAUCUUCCGCAAUGGACGAAAGUCUGACGGAGCAACGCCGCGUGAGUGAUGAAGGUUUUCGGAUCGUAAAGCUCUGUUGUUAGGGAAGAACAAGUGCCGUUCAAAUAGGGCGGCACCUUGACGGUACCUAACCAGAAAGCCACGGCUAACUACGUGCCAGCAGCCGCGGUAAUACGUAGGUGGCAAGCGUUGUCCGGAAUUAUUGGGCGUAAAGGGCUCGCAGGCGGUUUCUUAAGUCUGAUGUGAAAGCCCCCGGCUCAACCGGGGAGGGUCAUUGGAAACUGGGGAACUUGAGUGCAGAAGAGGAGAGUGGAAUUCCACGUGUAGCGGUGAAAUGCGUAGAGAUGUGGAGGAACACCAGGUGGCGAAGGCGACUCUCUGGUCUGUAACUGACGCUGAGGAGCGAAAGCGUGGGGAGCGAACAGGAUUAGAUACCCUGGUAGUCCACGCCGUAAACGAUGAGUGCUAAGUUGUUAGGGGGUUUCCGCCCCUUAUGGGUGCAGCUAACGAAUUAAGCACUCCGCCUGGGGAGUACGGUCGCAAGACUGAAAACCAAGGGAUUGACGGGGGCCCGCACAUGCGGUGGAACAUGGUGGUUUAAUUCGAAGCACCGCGAAGAACUUUACCAGGUCUUGAAA
Molecule: ribosomal RNA, 962 nt
Filed under: Bacillus amyloliquefaciens
Lineage: Bacteria; Bacillati; Bacillota; Bacilli; Caryophanales; Bacillaceae
Description: bacterial SSU rRNA
Rfam family: Bacterial small subunit ribosomal RNA
Source: RNAcentral